CGCGUAGGCGGCCUGCUAAGUCUGGAGUGAAAGUCCUGUUUUCAAGGUGGGAAUUGCUUUGGAUACUGGUGGGCUGGAGUGCAGGAGAGGAAAGCGGAAUUACCGGUGUAGCGGUGAAAUGCGUAGAGAUCGGUAGGAACACCAGUGGCGAAGGCGGCUUUCUGGACUGAAACUGACGCUGAGGCGCGAAAGCGUGGGGAAGCAAACA
This 208-nucleotide ribosomal RNA is filed under the name uncultured bacterium. RNAcentral's name for it is "partial 16S ribosomal RNA". It matches the Rfam family "Bacterial small subunit ribosomal RNA", at positions 568 to 774 of the family's 1533-position model. The record is from RNAcentral.